Molecule: long non-coding RNA, 1123 nt
Organism: Neopsephotus bourkii (Bourke's parrot)
Lineage: Eukaryota; Metazoa; Chordata; Aves; Psittaciformes; Psittacidae
Exons: 2
Source: RefSeq, a predicted model, not a curated record
AUAGAGAUUGUUAGUAACUAGUAAAGCCUACUACACAUCUAUCUUAGCUUCUGAGAACUUAAAUAUAACUUUGGAACAAAAAACUGAUGCUGACUAGGUAAAUAUGAACUUUUGGGCAAUCUUUCUUAAAAGUUGCUUACAGAUUGAGGCCACCACGGCAGCCAGUGUCACUGUUUAUCAGGGAGUGCUAUUGUACCACGCUGGGAAGGAGCUGAAGUGUGCUAUUCAGGGUGCUGCUGAGCAUAACAACCCCACAGCCGGUGUUCUGGGUAGCUGUGGUUCUUUAUUUUGGCCUCAAGCUAGUGAGCACAUUCAGUGGGAUUCAAGGGCAUCUGGCAUGGAAGAGACCUGCACUUCUAUGGUUACAUCCAAACUUUAUUUCUUUCUUUUUUCAUGCUUCCAGGUUCUCCUUCGCACUCUUUGUCCAGCCCAUCAAACCCAGGUUUUCCAUGAGAGGAGUGAGAGUACACAAAUGCUGUAGAACCGAGACAAAUAAAACUACUUCUCGCAUAGAUGGGAAGACUGUAACCUAGAAAUAUUAAGCUGUGACAGCCUGCCAGAACUUCUCCUGCAAUUGAUGGAGUUUCUCUAAAGACACUUCAUAAAAGCAGCAGCAUCGAACAGAGUGACCCUACAGGUGCAAACUGCAGCAGCUCUCCCUCCAGUCUUCCCAAUAAGGUUUGUUGAAACUCUGUGUAUCUCAACAUCUUUAUUGGUAAUGGAUCCCUCCCUUAAUUUGCACUGAUGCAUUUGGAAUGUCAGCUUCCAAAACAAGGCACAUGGGCGGCAUUUAAAGUAGAUUUUUUGAAAGGAAAAUGAACAAAGAGCAUGUCAGGUUCCAUUUUGAUUUGCAUGACAAAUCCUGCAUGCAGUGUUCUGGUGGGUCGGGCUGGGCUUGCCUGCCACUCACUGCGUUUGUCACUUUGGUUUGAACACUUCUGACAGUCCGUUAUGUUAAUUGUUCUAAGGAUUGUUUUGCUGGGGAGGAAGAAAAGGAAAGGCAUUUGUAUUUUUGUACUCGUUCCAUUUACAGGAAAGGAGGGAUUUCUGAAGGAACACACAAUGUUUUCAGUCUGUUUGUGAUCUAUUUGAUUUGUAAAUAAUCCUGUGAGGUCAUCAGCAA